UUUUCGGUAGCCUAACCCAUAAGAACUCCAUGGUUAAGCGUGCUUAGCCUGGAGUAAUUCUGGGAUGGGUGACCUUCCGGGAAGUUUUCCUGAAAAGUGUGCGAGUGAGGACAAAGCACACUGGAAAGUCUCGUGGUGAUUUGUGGGGGCAGUCAACAGUCCCUAUAAGUUGUCGGGGCGUUACAAAUGGUAUCAGAGCCUAGCCUCUCCCAGUACGGUGUGGUUCGAGGACGAACUAAAUGGAAGCUGGUGGGCAUGUGACACCCGGGCACUGACGAGGGCGGGGAGUGAUCGCCGGUGCAAGAAGCAUGGUGCAGG
RNAcentral lists this long non-coding RNA (318 nucleotides) under Vigna radiata. RNAcentral describes it as "long non-coding RNA (VRAD_LNC014542)". Lineage: Eukaryota; Viridiplantae; Streptophyta; Magnoliopsida; Fabales; Fabaceae. The record is from RNAcentral.